UCGCCGCACGCCUCCCGCGGGCCGCCGUACUUCUCAUUUGAUUUCCCGCGGAGUUUUCGCGCGGCGAAUCGCACCGCGCUGCUUCACACGACCCGCCGAUCCGUGCCGGUCCCCCGAGUUUCGACGUCUCCUCGCACAUUUUCGCACCUCCCACUUCUUUUUCACUCAUCGUUUUGGCUGGUGGACCACAGGGAAACGUCGACGCGCGGAUGGACUUGGACGAGAGCAAUGCACCCCGCAUGGAAAAAGCGCAGCCUCUACUGCGAGCGGUAUCGACAGCGUACGAAGACAUGUAAC
Molecule: long non-coding RNA, 297 nt
Organism: Trachymyrmex cornetzi
Lineage: Eukaryota; Metazoa; Arthropoda; Insecta; Hymenoptera; Formicidae
Exons: 3
Source: RefSeq, a predicted model, not a curated record